RNAcentral lists this non-coding RNA (27 nucleotides) under Homo sapiens (human). Lineage: Eukaryota; Metazoa; Chordata; Mammalia; Primates; Hominidae. The record is from RNAcentral.
UGCCCAUUGCUAAAGGUAGAGCCCGGC